Molecule: long non-coding RNA, 6938 nt
Filed under: Dermacentor andersoni
Lineage: Eukaryota; Metazoa; Arthropoda; Arachnida; Ixodida; Ixodidae
Description: uncharacterized LOC126528129
Source: RNAcentral
GAGCCCGUGGCAGUGCUCCCUGCUGGCGCCUCUCGAAGUCUUGGCAGACGACCCACCAUAGCAGACGACUCCCCGGGCUUUUCACCAAUUGUUUUGAUUGCGCCUGUGCCAGACGACUUCAUGAGGCGCCGGUCGUGGGCACUCAGCAGAGUGAUGCCAUGAGCUAUGUGUUCCCACUUGCAGUGGCCAUGCCUGUAUGUACAUACAGUUUUGUACAUUGUUUGAGCGAGAGCUCCAUUUUGUCAAAACAUUAAGAGAGGAAGGCCCAGAAUACAGUCAACUUUAACUAAAGCAUGUCCUUUGGUUAGCCUAUUUGGUCAGUGGCAUUUAACUUCCACUUAUUGUUUCUGAAGGGUGUUAUGGAUCCAAAUAAAUGCCAAAGUCUAUGCCACACAAAAUAUUUCUUUGUGAGACGGCUCCUAACUGCACAGUUAUGCAUCCCAAUUUACACAUUGAAAUAUCUUCAAGACCAGCAAGCUAAGAAAAGAAAAAAAUGUCACCAGAGUACUUGGCAAGCUAUUCAUUCGAAGUGACAGACCUGAAUGAACUUUUGUCAAACGGGGCUGCUCUGUCCGGCUCGAAGCUUCCCUCAUACACCACCUUGUGGGAUGCAUGGUGUUUUCCAAAUCUACUGGUCUUUAUGGAUAAAUGUUCUUUGGCAUUUCUACAUCUAAUGACAAAUUUCAAAAAUCAGGAUUUUUAUCCUAUCGAAGGAGUGUUUCUUCGUUUUCUCAUCAUUCCUUCUUCUGCCCCACACUAAAAUGAUCAGCAAAUCAGUUUGCACUUGCAGCACGAAGUUCAUUUUGUGCUGUGAAGCCAGUUCAGUUUUACAGUUGACGACUUGCGUAACUUAGCUUGCAAAGAGUUCAUAAUGGUAGACCAGACAUGAGUGAAGCAUUGAGACGCAUUCUCAGGUCACAGUCAUGCCUUUCCAUCUCAGCACAUUUAUAUUUUUCAUGAGAAAAGCAGUGCCUAAUAGUACGUGUAGAUGUCUUUAUUUGUAUGUUCUUCUUGUGAAACUGCAUGAAAGGUUCUUUCCAGUCAGACUGGAAGUGGUUUGAUCCAUAAUAUAGCUUGUCAAUUAACCUAACUUAUUUCUUAAACUGUAGAGAAAGUAUUGCCAUGUCCAAAAUGCAGUCUCUGCAAGUAGUCUUGUUCAAGUUCUCAUCCUCAGAUUAGAGCAUGCGCUGCCGAAGACAUGCUCUUUCAUCAGUUGAUGAAUAAGCUUCUCCAUGCAAAAAAAAAAAAAAAAGUGAACCAUGAGUAUGGUUAUGAAAAUAAAGAGUAGUAGUAGCAGUACUAAUUCUAGCCUCCCUACCAUCACUGCAUAUGUGCUAGUAUGUGCUGAAAGAUGGUCACGUAUGUUUGAAUGGUAGUUGUGGUGCAUGUAUUCAGGUGAGGUGGGCACCAAUUAAUCAUGCUGUGCAGUGUUGCAAUCAAUGUGCAUUGGAGCCUGCCACCAGGUAGUGGUGCUUCAACAAAAAAAUUUCAUCACUACCUAGGCUGUAGAGGUGUCUCCUGUUGACUGGCGUUUUCAACCUAGUGACAGCAGCACGUGUAUAUGUUUGGACAUAGUGUGAAUCACGUUAUUCCCUAGCCAUGUGAAAUACUUCUCAUGUGGUCUUGUAAUGCAUACAGGGCACCAUUCAACAAGCAUAGUGUGGCUGUUUCGUACAAAUACAUGGUCUUUGUAUAAGCCGUAUCUGGCGUUCCAACAUGGCAAGUUAUCGUUGCUCUGAAGUUUUUUACUGAUAAAAAAGAAGUCAAGGAAAUGUAAUUGUUCUGUGACUGUAGAAGAGCCUUUACCAGUACUUGCCAAUUGAACUUUUGAUGUGCUGAGUGUGUGCUGGCAAGAGCACUGGGACGCUUGGUGUUUGGAAAAGGUGCCGUUGUUAUCAAGACUGUUGGCAGGCAGAAAUAUGUGUUCAAAACAAUGGCAUUCUUCCAUUGAAAACAAGAAAUAUUCCAGUCUUGAGGCUUGGCUCGAGUUCAUUAAUAAUUGCUCGUAAUAGAUUAGGGAGAUCAUCAUAUACUGUGAAGUGCAGCAUCAUGCCCCCUGCCUAAAUACUUUUGUCAACACGGAGGGGAAAAGUUUUUCUGUGUUGUUACUGUUUGUGCUGGCUUUAUCAGUAACCUUUGUGCUGUUACAGAUGUCUCCAUGCUGCCUGCGAAAUGUCUAAGAAGUUUGCUUCAGGCUUUGCCAGAAAACCAGCUUUCACAGAAAGCAUUCACUUGUUUGCUCUGUUACGUAACACAGUUCGGUAUAAGAUUGGUUUAGCAUGGCGGCAGCGAUAUGACUGUUGAUGUGACUCUUGUCUGGAACAAGUAUAAUGGCUAUUUCGCUUGCAGCCCCGUCAUCUUACCAUAGCAACCAUGAGAAAAAAACUGUUUUACAGUAUUCACUGAGCUGUAAUCGUCAGGAUAAAGAAAAUGACACUGCAAUGUACAGGCAGAGAAUCAUAAUGUAAAUUAUGCAGGAGAGCCGACUCUGGCAUCCACUAAUGCGUUUGCUGUUCUGUUAUUGAUGCAGAGGACACAAUUGCACUUGGCACACGUAGCACACCCCCGCCAUGCUCUGCCCCCGCUGCUCACCCUCUCCACAACAGGCCUUUGGCAAUGGUUCUCCCCUACUUCUCCUGGCUGCUGGCGCAAAUACAGCACACCCCAUGCCAUUAAAAUUGUAUAUUAAAUCGGCAGGCUCUUAUGCAGUCAAGGAGGUCUGCAAAGUAGACAAGAAUUGAAUGAAGCUGCAUGUUGGUUCGAUUUCAAAAAUGCACUUUGCAUUGCUCAAUUGUUGGAUAAGUUUUGCAAGCUUAAAUCGGUUACUUUCAUCUGAUACCGACUUGUCUCAAACUGUUGUCAUGCUACGCAGUUGUCGCGGUACACUGUAUUGUUUCUGUCAUGGUUUGUGUUUUGACAAACUCGAACGUGAUUUCUCGUCGGGCAUGUAGUGAUUUUAAGUUAAGAUUGUUUGAUGGUGGAUUAGAGAACUCCUGAACACUUCUGUUCUCGGAUGACAGUGCAGGCAUGGCAAAGGAAAUUAUAAAUUUCCUCUUCUUGUCACCUAUGCGCAAAGGGUUGUUUAGUUAGUGAAACAAGGACGUUCCUAAGGACAUAGCUGUAAAAGUGAAUGUUGAUGCAGGUUUAAUUUCUGGUUAUAGUGCAUUUGUUGUCCCAUUUCUUUUAUGUUUUAAGUGCUCAGUACUGAGAUGUUAAACAUCCACACAUGUUUUUUUCGUUUGCAAGUAAUCAUUGUGUCACGAUAUGUACAUGAUAUAUGCAUGCAGAAAAUCUAACAAAAGCGUAGAUAUCCCUGAUGGUUUAAUUGCUGCUAAUAGUGAGAACAGGCUGUGGGGUGGAGAUAGCGAGAGCUUAACAUGAAUACUUUGUGUGGAUUUUGAGUGAUAAGAUUUAUCCACAAUGAUCAUGACAAGUGAAUAUCCACAGCUAAGCAUCUGCAGUGGAAGCUGAAGCAGACGGCAAAGGUUUAUGUAAACUGAUGUGCUGGAGACGACGUACAGCACACUCGUCUGUAGUUGGAGGUGAAACAAACAAAGGGGGAGAAUGCGAUGACUGUGUUUGGUGACACAGUGGUGAACAAAAUGCACCAAAUCUAGCAGCUGGUGCAGAGUAGCACCAAGUGUCGCCAUCUGUACAAGUUCCAAAACGGCCCUUUUGCCUCAUCAAAAAGGAAACACUGCUGUCAGAUUGGUUGGCUCUCCCAUAUAUAUUUUUCUUGUAUAUCUUACUCUGUGCUGAAAACACAGUUCAGUCAAGCUAAUAUAUAGCAUGGGAUUCUGCAUGUUUUUAGAAAUCUAUCUAGUUUGUGAGUUAGCUUCAGUGACAGAAACACAAACUGGUGGAUAAGUUAACCUCAGAACUUUGCAGUUUCAUAUUGUACUUUUGUUGAAGUAGUAAAAUAACUGUCACAGAAAUGUGGCAAUGUUCUCCACUAGCAAAUGUGGUGCAUUUCUAACCUUUAUAAAAAGCUGUGUUUAUUUAAUUUUUUCGUAUGUUAGAGUGAAGCAGUUUAUAAAUAGGGUUCCAUGCAUUUUUCGUGUCCGUGAACAAAUCUGUGUGAGCAAGAACUAUCAUUAGCAAUGGCUCGUGCCACUGCUUGCGUGGGCGUUGUUGUCUUUUACCACAGCUGGCUCAUUAGUGCCCCCUCGGCAUAACUGUGCGAACGCGUUCGUACCACUGCUCUCAUGUUCAUCGUUGUCUUCUUCUACAGCUGGCUAUGUUGCCAUUCAUCAUGCCAACAUUCCCAUACUGCCCCUUCCUCUGCAAAGGCACUGGCCCACUCCCAACUGGUGCAGUGCUUUCAGUCUCAAAUUCUUUGCCUUAGUAUAUCACGAAAUGGAAACACGAAUCUAUAUAACAAAUGUAUAAGACAAAUGAACACGGAUGUAUAAAAAUAAAUGUGUGUGCAUACCUUUCGUCACGAUGACCAGCAACCAAGACAGUAAAUGUGUUCAUACCUUUGUUCAAAAUUCAGUGUCGCCUGUUUGUCGGGUGCUACACAGCUUCGCUGGUCAUCUACCUUUAUAGAGUGAAAUGGUUCAAGAUUAUUUUUUUCAUUUUAUAUCACUAUAAUUGCUUUAAUUCAUAUUGAAUUUCAUAUUCUUUGUGUGUUGAAAUAUCAGUUGAUGGUUUCAUUGUGACGCAAAAAAAUUCAUAUUUAGUUUAAUAGGUGAGUGUCUGAUGCAGUGUUAAAUACAAAGAGUAAUUCUACUAACUAGUCAUAAUAUCAAAAUUUCAUGCCAAAUCCAACCUCCACAUAUUGCAAGCAAGAAUUUGCAUGCAUAGAGCGAUAGGAACUUGUGUGAGACAUGUACCGCACUGCUGCCAAGACAGUGAUGUGUUGUUUGUGUAGCCCAAGGUUAUCAUGUAUUUUGCAGACAAGUGUGGCAAGUCUUUUUGAUUGCCAGGUAUAGCACACUAGUUCAGUUGUGUAACGCCUCACUUGAAUCGCUUUCAUGUGCUCUCUGUGACUUUGCAGGGUCCUCACCAUUGGGGUCACUGGAGCAGUACGAGUCGCUCGUGUCUGUGCACAGCCGGCUGCAUUCCUGCCGGAUGUGCCCUUACAAGACCAAGAAAAGGGCGCGCAUGACGACUCAUGUGCGCACACACACGGGUGAGCGCCCCUUCAAGUGCCAUCUAUGUCCAUGCGCAUUCACUCGGAAUUGCCACCUGAAAGAGCAUCUGCGCACCCACACAGGAGAGCGUCCCUACCAGUGCCACCUAUGCCCUUGUGCAUUCACUCGAAAUUCCCACCUGAAAGAGCACCUGCACAGCCACACAGGAGAGCGUCCUGUGUCGCGGAAUAAACUCUUAGUCCACAUGUUUUGUCAUGCAGGGGAGAAGCCCUAAAGGUCAGGGGUUUUCAUAUUUUUUUCUUUUUUUUGUAGCUGAACCGAUUGAUCGAAUUCUUUGUGGCACUAGGCGAUUUCUAUACUGCAAUGAGAGGUUUCCUGCCCCUUCAGCCAUAGAGUUCCUUGUAAUUUUACCUAAGUUCAGCUGUCACGACUGUCUGUGAGAACUUCUUUUCUUUCCUGUGACUUCAUAGCUAUGCCAGCAUAUCGAUGGUAUGGAUUGUCUUGAAUGCGGCUUGGCCUGAAAUGUGCUCAUGACUGUGUAAAUAGGUUUGUCUAUAUUAUUUUAGCAAGGGAAAAGAAAGUAAACAAAACAGAAACAUAAUUGGAACCAGGGCAGAGUAGCAUGUGCCAAGUUCCUCCCCUUGUCGUUUCUGAUGUGUCUACUACCUCUAGGAUAGCUACGCCAGACCACACUCCAGCCUAUUCUCUUCCUCUAGGACAGAGGGGGAGAGAGCAGCACGUACAUAAGAAUUGCUUCCAAGAAAAUCUGAUGAUGACAAGUCUUGUCAAAAUGUUCGCUUAAAGCGUCACUCCUUGUUCUGCUAAUCCUGAUCACUUUAAAUUUCCAUCUUUCUUUCAACUUCUGUCUUGUUCAAAACUAUUUUCAAAGUUAGUUUCAAACAUCACCAGAUUGCUACCUUGUUAGUGCAUUUACAUCUUGCCUAGUGUCGGGGCUCAUUUGUUCCAGCAGUCCAGGUAACUACGUGAUUUUAUUGCAGCAGCAGUUAAAAUCUCUAAACUUGUGUUUGCUGUGUCCAUGCAUCUUGUAAAGAGCUGGAAGCAGUGUGUGUGGCUUCCUCGACCAUUUCUUGAAAUUUUAUAACAAAAAGCGUAAUGCCGCAUUCUCUAUAUGUAAAUUGUUGGAACCAAGCCAUAUAAGCUUAUUCUUUCUAUCUAGCUUCACACUUAUAUGGAAGGAAACAGCAAGAACUGCAGAUGGAAGGGUGACACCCUUCACAACGUGGUCAUGGGGUAUAUGUGUAUCGUGUACGUGUCAGUGUGUGAUAGGUGUAGCCAGGCUUGCAUUGUGACCAUGUACUCAAGUUGUACCUUGAGUACCAUGAUGUCCUGCAUGAUCUUGCAGCUGGAUAUUUGACAUAGUAAGCUGCUUUUGAAUUAUGCUCCCUUUUUUCUGGUCUUAAAAAUUGCAUAGCCAUAGCUGUCCAUGAGAGGAAAUUUUGCUGCUGCCUCUUAAAACAGAAUAAUUUGAUUAGUGAUCUGCAAACAAAAGUAACAGUUGUUAUGUGUGUUCUUUCCUCAUUUGAACAUUGGCCCUGUAUGUGUUAUGUGUUUUGGGACUUUAUGUAUAGUAAUACAUUUUUUAUUGUAUAUUAUGUCCCAAUUGUGAAUUUGGUUCCUUGUACUGCAUUUAUUUUUAUGUUUAGUAACACUGGCAUUCUUUAAUUGUCAUUACUUUAGUACUGCAAUGUGUGCCUAGUAUCACUUUUUCUCUUUUACUGUUUGAAAAACCUGUAUUGUUUACUUUAGUGAACAUAUUUCAUAUGCUGCUGUUGUAUAAAGUUAGCGUCACAAUAUGCUUCUUAUUAAAAGUGGCGAUUGUCA